UACGUAGGGUGCGAGCGUUGUCCGGAAUUAUUGGGCGUAAAGGGCUCGUAGGCGGUUUGUCGCGUCGGGAGUGAAAUCCACUGGCUUAACUGGUGGCUUGCUUUCGAUACGGGCAGACUAGAGUGCGGUAGGGGAGACUGGAAUUCCUGGUGUAGCGGUGAAAUGCGCAGAUAUCAGGAGGAACACCGGUGGCGAAGGCGGGUCUCUGGGCAAUAACUGACGCUGAGGAGCGAAAGCGUGGGGAGCGAACAGG
This 253-nucleotide ribosomal RNA is filed under the name uncultured bacterium. RNAcentral describes it as "partial 16S ribosomal RNA". It matches the Rfam family "Bacterial small subunit ribosomal RNA", at positions 524 to 776 of the family's 1533-position model. The record is from RNAcentral.